RNAcentral lists this long non-coding RNA (608 nucleotides) under Mytilus galloprovincialis (Mediterranean mussel). Lineage: Eukaryota; Metazoa; Mollusca; Bivalvia; Mytilida; Mytilidae. The record is from RNAcentral.
CGUCGUCCGAAUACUUUUAGUUUUCGCACUCUGACUUUAGUAAAAGUGAAUAGAAAUCAAUGAAAUUUUAACACAAGGUUUAUGACCACAAAAGGAAGGUUGGGAUUGAUUUUGGGAGUUUUGGUCCCAACAUUUUAGGAAUUAGGGGCCAAAAAGGGCCCAAAUACGCAUUUUCUUGGUUUUCGCACUAUAACUUUAGUUUAAGUGAAUAGAAAUCUAUGAAAUUUUGACACAAGGUUUAUGACCACAAAAGGAAGGUUGGGAUUGAUUUUGGGAGUUUUGGUUCCAACAGUUUAGGAGUUAAGGGCCAUAAAAGGGCCCAAAUAAGCAUUAUUCUUGGUUUUCGCACAAUAACUUUAGUAUAAGUAAAUAGAAAUCAAUGAAAUUUUAACACAAGGUUUAUGACCACAAAAGGAAGGUUGGGAUUGAUUUUUGGAGUUGAGGUCACAACAGUUUAUGAAUUAGGGGCCAAAAAGGGGCCCAAAUAAGCAUUAUUUUUUGUUUUUGCACCAUAACUUUAGUAUAAGUAAAUAGAAAUCUAUGAAAUUUAAACACAAGGUUUAUGACCAUAAAAGGAAGGUUGGGUUUGGUUUUGGGAGUUUUGGUCC